CAAGUCGGCUGUCCCCCGCUCCAGUGCCACGGGCCUCGUCUGAGCUACCUGGAGGGAGGCCGUGCUGAGUCUGAUGGCUGGGGACGAGGCCAGGAAAGCAGGAACUGCCCGAAACAGAGAGAUGUGUCUUGUUUUGGCGGAGGGUGAUACGGGGAACGGGUAGAACUGUCUUCUCCCAAUUACUCUGGAAAAAGCCACUUCUGAAGGACCUGGAACAAGAAGAGAAAGUUUCCACUGAUGUAAAGGUCUUGGCAUCUUGGUGAAAUUCUCUGUGAUUACCCUUUGCCCUCAAGUUGCUGAGCUCCUCCAUGUAUCUCGUAACUCUGGAGCUUUCAGACCCAUCCAGUGGCCAGGCCAGCCCUAGAAACUGGUCCAAAUGCUGUUUUCUGCUAAGUUCAUGGCCUGCAGAGACCCUCUAAGGUGUCAGUAGGGUGGCUGGAGACAGGUAAAAGAGACAAAUGAAAUGUGUUCGUCUUUGUGUGAGAAGUGCAGCCUUUUUGGCUGCGGGAGUGUUUCAUCUUCUCUCCUCUGAGCCUGCUGUCCCUUCUCAGAGGCUUUUAGAAGGAACCAAGAGCACCAACCACCAGACAAGGAAGGGCCUUGCCUGUGCUAAGUACGUGUGGAGUGGAAAUAUUUAUUUUUUUUUUUUUACUUGUUAGACUGGAAAGUUCCUGAUUUGAGUUUCAGUCUUGGUCAUCGCUGCCUAUUUAGACAGGUUUAUGGCCAUGCAUGACUGAGCAAGCUACUCAUCGAGCAACCGGGUGGAAGAUUCCUGAGGCCAGGCAGAGCAUUCCUCUGGCUGCUUCUGAGGGGAGUCUGGGGGCUUUGCCUCCACAGCUUUUAGUGGGAGCAUCCUCCCAGGAUGAGCUGACCACGAGCCCAGAAGGCCAAGGUGUUCUGCCUGGGGUUAAGGGCUCUGCCCGCUCCAGCAGAGCAUCUGAAACAGCCAUGUGUGAUUGCUGAGGGGUUCCUGUGGCUGCCCUUCCCAGUUAUCUCCCUGUCCCACAGAGUGGGUGGCUUCUUUGCCACCCACUUUUCUUGCUUUACUGCCUGCUAGAAAUGCUGAUAUCUGUGGGCAUGGCCCAACAUCUGCUGAGCUGAGCACAACCACUUCCAUGUGGUCCUGAAGUCCAACCCGAUUUAGAGUGUCACAGCCAUUUUUUGCCCCAACAGAGAUGGUCUUCCCUGUUUUAUUUCUCUCUCUGUGCAAUUUCCUUGCUUUUUUUCCCCCAGUUUGUUCAGUGUGCAGGGAAAGCACCACUGGAUCUCUUCCCCACCCCGAGGAAGGAGCUGUGCCCAGCUCAUCCAGAUGUGACUUUGCAGGACAACUCACAGCACUGCCUGGCUGCUCCACAAGCAGCACACAAAGGAUUAGGCCAAAUUUGAGCCCCUUGAGCUGCUUUUCAGUAUUUUAACUUUGAUAUCAAGGGCCUAAACAUGGCUUAGGAGGAAGUUACACCCAGCAGGAAAGGUGGAUGUGGCUGUGGAACGUGUGGAAUUGUGGCUGCACCUCUGCAUGAACCACAGGAGUGUUUUCUGCGUCCCCUCACAGCACAGCACAGCAGGAAUGAGCUUUUCCUAGAGAAAAUUCUCCCUGUGCCUCACCUCUGCUGAGAACAUCCCUCUACAUCAAUUUAAUCCCUUCACUUCAUCUGAAUAAGCCAUGGAAUGAGUUCCUGGAGAGACCUGCUCAGCAGUUUGGGGGUGGCCCCCCGCCCAUCCUGCCCAACAGAGAUCAGCCAUGGGCCACUGCUUGUUUUUGUGGUGUUUUAUCAGGCUGCUGCAUGUCCUUUAACUGCCAGCUCCUUGUAAAAGCUUGUUUCUUCUCCUCAUGCUUGAAAGCAUUUGCUGCUCAUCCCUUCUUGGGUGGCUGAGUAUAAAAGCAGCUUCCUCUGAGAGAUUUAGUGUCUGCUCAAACUCAAUGCUGCACUAAAUCCAAGGAACACCCUUUUGCAUCCUCACAGAAUUAUCUGAUGGCUUCAGGAGGGACAAACCUGUUUGUCUUUUUGAUUCCUAAGUAAAACUUCUUUAAAAAAAAAAAAAGAUUUUUCUUUAAAAAAAAUUUCACCCACGUAUCUAGAAUCAAAGCUGCCUGGUGAUCCAUGAGAGAUUGGACACUCACCAGUGCUUUCCAGGGGAAUUCAUGCUCAGAAAGGAGGUGAUUUUUGUGGUGUAUUUUGAAAUUUCCCUGUACUUGUUGACUUUAGAUUGGUGGUCUAUUUGCAAUUUUUGUACAGUAUUUGAAGAAAAAGUUCAAUACAACAGAAGCGGGACAGGAAUGAUCCCCACCCCCUUGUUUUUAACAUUGUGUGAAUCUGAAAGAGGGGAAAAAAAGAGGUGGAUGGCACCACGGGAAGAUCAUGACAGUAGAGCAAAUAGUGUGGGUUGUGGCCUGUGGUGGAAUGUCAAGAUCAAACUUAUUGUGGCUUUUGCAGCUUGGCUAAUCCAUGUUGUGAAAGCUUCUGUACGUGCACCUAGGGCACAGACUGCCUUUGGAAUCAGGGAUGGAGCUUUCCCCUCACAGACAGUGGAGUCAGUCUGGAAAUUAGUUUAAAAAGGGAUGAUACAUCCAAGUAAAUUCGCCAGAUCCUUCUUCUGGCUAUGCUGACAGAAUUACUGUAUUAUUAACAUUGUUCUUCCUCACUCUCUUGGCUCUAAGUGUAUUUUUACAAGGCUUGUAAAAGAAAUAAAAAUAAAUUAACGGAUAUUCUGGGAAAAUUAGAGAAUUGCAAUCUCCUACAGCAUUUUGUUUAGACUGUGUGUAAUAAUACUCCAGAGAGAAAAAAUCCUGUGUCACAACUUAGAAGAAGUUUGUCUAAAGAAGGUUUUAUCCCCCUUGUCUACAAAAUCUUGUAGUACAAAGCUACAGAUUAUUCUGCAUUUGGGACAUUUUCCCUGUUUAAAAACAGCUUUGUUUUCUGUCUCCAAAGCAAAUUUCCCAGCAGAAUUUCAAACAUCCUUUGUCUGUCUCCCUUUGGAGAGUGUUUCCAGGAACCAGCAGCUUCUGUGUACCCCAGUCAUUUGCAUUCUGUGCUGUAAGUACCCAGAGAAAACUUGUUGCCUAAAUCCCGGGUUUCCCACUUGGAAAAAUUCAGGCACGUAAAAGAAAUAAACUGAAAAGUUUGCACCAACUGUUUUGCUCAAGGAGCGACAAGAAGGAGUUUUCAGUUAAACUCCCAGAGCAAGUGGAGCCCAGAUGUUUUUAGUAAACAGUUUUCAAAACUCACAGUUGAGAUCAGUGUCAAAUUUCCAGACACAUGAUGAACCUUGGAGCCAAGUUUAGGAUUGCUUUUGUGUUUACAUAAAGCCUGGAAGCUGAAUGACACUGAAAUUUGUGGAUGUAGUGGAGGUUCUUAAUAACAAAUAUUUGACUGGAUGCAAUUUCUCUUAUUUACAGGACUUUGAGAUUUGGGGAAAGAAAAAAAAAAAGGUUACUGUAUUUUUGUUGAUCUUACAUCUGAGGCAUAUUCAGCACUUUCUUGCUCACUGGAACAGUUGUUGAUUUUUAAUUGGAAUCUGUUAUUAUUAUUCUGGCCAUUAAACCAGCAUGGCAAAAUCAAGUGUUUUAAAGCUGGAGGUAAACCAUUUCUACAGGUGAGAAAUGAAGUUUGUGCAUUCCUGGGCAUUCUGGCUCUCUGCUCUCACCAAGGCAGCCCUCUCGCUGAAGGUUUAACUGGAUACCUAAGCCACAUGCCAAGGUUUUUGCUCAGGGACUGUAUCAGCAAAAAUGUCUCAGAAUUUAAUUUGGGCAAAUACUGUCCAGUAUUUGUUUAGGAGUCCUGUUUUCUGCCCCUUUGGAAAGCUCAUGCAUGAGAAGGGCACGGGUAGAGUCAGGAUAAAUUAUAUUAAAGUGGGGGUAUGAAUCAUGGAAACUUCCCCUUUGGAUGUAUCUUGGUCUCUGACCUAAUAGCCUUCUGUAUCAUAUGCAGACACUCACCAAAGAAGCUCUGAUUAGUUUUGCAUGCUUAAAACUCAGCUUUACUAUCCCUAAAUUGGCAGAUUUUGAGAUCUGUGCCCUGUGUACAGUAGCUAAGCUGUAAACAAGAGUGUUUGCUCCAUUGUUUCUGAUGGGAUGUCAUCCAAGGAAAAACAGGGAUUGUCUUCAAUAAUUUGAAGCUUGUGUAGGCAGACAAUACAUUGUUUUUGCCUGUGGGCAGCAUGAACAUGCCUCUACUUCAGCCCAAGAAAGCAGCUGAGAGGGACAUGAAUUCAAAAUCCACACAUGUUGCUAAGAGGAUGGGACAGGCCCUGGGCA
This is a non-coding RNA of Pseudopodoces humilis (Tibetan ground-tit), 4255 nucleotides long. Lineage: Eukaryota; Metazoa; Chordata; Aves; Passeriformes; Paridae. The record is from RefSeq and is a predicted model, not a curated record.